AUUGAACGCUGGCGGCAGGCUUAACACAUGCAAGUCGAGCGAGCGGCGGACGGGUGAGUAAUGUCUGGGAAACUGCAUGAUGGAGGGGGAUAACUACUGGAAACGGUGGCUAAUACCGCAUACCAUCAGAUGUGCCCAGAUGGGAUUAGCUAGUAGGGGGGGUAAUGGCUCACCUAGGCGACGAUCCCUAGCUGGUCUGAGAGGAUGACCAGCCAAACUGGGACUGAGCCACGGGCCAGACUCCUACGGGAGGCAGCAGGGGGGAAGAGUGCACAAUGGGCGCAAGCCUGAUGCAGCCAUGCCGCGUGUGUGAAGAAGGCCUUCGGGUUGUAAAGCACUUUCAGCGAGGAGGCGGUACUCGCAGAAGAAGCACCGGCUAACUCCGUGCCAGCAGCCGCGGUAAUUC
This 406-nucleotide ribosomal RNA is filed under the name uncultured bacterium. Its description in RNAcentral is "partial 16S ribosomal RNA". It matches the Rfam family "Bacterial small subunit ribosomal RNA", at positions 29 to 526 of the family's 1533-position model. The record is from RNAcentral.